This 261-nucleotide ribosomal RNA is filed under the name uncultured archaeon. RNAcentral's name for it is "partial 16S ribosomal RNA". It matches the Rfam family "Archaeal small subunit ribosomal RNA", at positions 748 to 1008 of the family's 1478-position model. The record is from RNAcentral.
CAGCCGUAAACUAUGCGCGUUAGGUGUACUGGUGACCACGAGUCACCGGGUGCCGAAGGGAAACCGUGAAACGUGCCGCCUGGGAAGUACGGUCGCAAGGCUGAAACUUAAAGGAAUUGGCGGGGGAGCACCACAACGGGUGGAGACCUGCGGUUUAAUUGGACUCAACGCCGGAAAUCUCACCGGAUAGGACAGACAUAUGAUAGUCGGGCUGAAGACUCUACUUGAUGAUCUGAGAGGUGGUGCAUGGCGUCAGUGACU